UUUGGUGUGUCCAGUUUGGUGUUAUGAGAACGGAAUGCUCCAGAGAGAGGGGAGCAAAAGUCAAACUGUUAUAGCUGGGAACUGAGGAACCAGAGGAAAUGGAGACAGAGAGGGAAUAGCUUAUUUUAAUGACCAUGCUGCUUCUAGAAAUACGUAAAACAGGAUAAUCUCCAAUCCUUCUGCAAAUAUCCAGAAAUUCUGGACAAAAUACACCAAAGAUUCUUCUGAAUGACUGAGGAGCUUUGAGAAAACGAGAGGACAUUCUCUGGUUCUAGAAACAGAAGGAACUGAAAAUCAGACUGCUGACUGGUGUGGGAAAAGGGACGGCCUGGAUCCAGAUCUGGUAACACUGGACGACUACUGACCUCUUUGGGACUCAGUUUCCUCCUCUGUACAGUGAAGGGAAUGAAUGAGAGGACUUCCAAAAUCUGCCCCAGUUCUAAUAGCCCAUGAUUGAAGUGGAUGACCAGAUGUUCCACUUGAAGUUCUGCCUCCCAGGAUCAUUUCCUUCACCACUGCCUUUCAGGACCAUCCCUGAGUGUGAUGUAGUAAGGCAGGAGGUUCAUCAGCCAAGGAGCAUAAGACGGAGCACAUGGUAUACGCCUCGCUCACUGCGCCUCCCCGUCACAAGUUUAUCACUGUGUUUCGUGCCUCCAGAUGGAGCACACGCUCACCAGGAACUUCUAAAGUUCCAAAGAGCCAAAGGAUCCAAAAAGAAAGAUUUUUUAAAAAGAAGUAUUUUGCUCUGGUGGAUUGAAAAAUCGCUUUUAUCACAACCAUAAAUGAAGCAUGAUUCAGAAGGAAGGCAGUAUUGCUCCAGUUCUCUCAGGGCAGAAACACAAGCAGAGCUGAAGCAUGGAAGUCUCAUAACCAUCCUGAUCAAGGGGAACGCUUGACGAGAGACCCAUCAGUGUGGCUGCAGGAGGUCUCCUGUGUUAUGUCAUCUUCUGCUUUUUACACAAGGGUGCUGGAACAGGUGGUCAGGAGCUCAGAAACAUGCUCGUCUGACCUGGGGACCAACAAGACAGAAUUUGUGAUUCUGAACCCCCAAACACAGGCCAGGUUUGUGUGGUUCCCAGGGGCAGACUCUACCCCAGUCCUGACCGUCUUCCAGAAGCCACAGUCCAGGGCUGUGUGUAUGAGCACCACAGCACACAUUCAGGUGUCCCCUACUUUGAAGAAAUUGUGUUCCUUAACAUUUCCUUCCCUUCUGUUGACUGAUUUCCCUCCUCUAUCACCAGACGUUUAGAAAGACUGGUGCUGCUCGCACUGGCUAUGCUGUCUGGCCCCACAUUUUCUCUUCUUCUCAUUGCAAUCUACAUCCUUGCUCUCCUCCCCAAGUAAUCACCAAACUUCUCUUCCCGAGGUCUAUUGUGACUUCCUAAAUGCCAGAUCCUUGUCCUAUUUUCGGCCGUCCACCUGAAGGACAUCCCUGCUGUGUUGGACGUGGGACACCGUCUCCCCCUUGCAGCUUGCUCCUCCAAAGGCCUUGGUCCCUGGCUCCUCUCUCUUGGUCUGUCUGUCAUCCCAUGUCCUCAUCCUCCUGUUCCUCUCCCCAUUUCUUCUUGGUCCCUUUCGAUGACCCUCCUCUUUCCGCCCUGUGACUGUUGGCAUCCUAGAGGAUUAACCUUUUGGCAAUUCGUUCUUUUACUCCUUCCACCUGUCCCCAAAUUCAGAGCCAUCUUGUGCAUCCUACUUGGUGCCAGGCACUAAGCUAGUCAGGAAAUACAGAGAUGAAUGAGAUCCAAUCUUCAACCUCACUGUGCACCCUAAAGUCUAGAGGGAGCAACAGUGUGUACUGUGGUAUAGGUUUGGACCAGAAGAGGUGGGGGGAAAAUCAAUUCUGCGUGAUGGGAAGGAACAUGUAGUAUAAUACAGUGGAGUAUUUACCAUGUUGCCUAAUCGUUAGAAGUGAAGGUCUGUCAGGCCUAAGCCAGGGCUUUCCAGAAGAAAGUGUGUGUGUGUGUGUGUGUGUGUGUGUGUGUGUGUGAUGUUACAUGCAUGUGCGCCUGGAAGCCUCGAGCAGUUGAGGAGCUGUUCCACUCUAAGAAGGGGACCUUAUCUUACUCAGGAAGUGCUUCAAAUGUAACUUACUGGAAGAUUAGCUGGGGGAGGCUAGCUUUGCCCCAACUUGCAGAUGAGUCAGUAAUUAUUUGUAUUCCCCCUUUGAACUCUAUACUCCAAAUUAUUUUUGUGUUUCCAAGGGUGAUUUCAAAAAUACUUAGGACACCAACACAGAUCAAUCUGGAUGAGUGACUGAGCAUGAUUCCAGAAGUGCUUUUUUGUGCCAUAAGGGAAA
Molecule: long non-coding RNA, 2299 nt
Organism: Felis catus (domestic cat)
Lineage: Eukaryota; Metazoa; Chordata; Mammalia; Carnivora; Felidae
Exons: 4
Source: RefSeq, a predicted model, not a curated record